CUUCCAUCAUUUUCUUUCUUCUUUUUAUCAUUUUUUCACAUUUUGUUGAUGCUCAUAUGGAACACCGUAAAUUAAGUGGAUCAAAAGAGACAAUGGCCAUGAGGAGGAACUUAACGGGCACGGUAAUUCCAAAAUUGCAACUCCUGGGAGCAAGUCACGGCAGUCCGGACAGAAAAACACUCAAGAUAAGCCGUCCAAAAUCCAACCCGAUCAAGCAACGCCACAAAUUACAGGCUAUAGUACUGCUCAUUUUCUCAUUCAAAUGCAAUAUGUGAGAUAUAUAUAUCUAACAAAAACUUUGAUUGUAGGAAGCAAUAAUAAGACAUGCAGCUACAAAUUCAAUGAAUCCAGUGAUAAAUGUAAGAUGAGCCCCUAGCUAUGGCACACCCGGGACUUCUCAGUGAACUGUUUAUAACUAUGCAACUCAUGUAAUAUUUAUGGAA
Molecule: long non-coding RNA, 443 nt
Organism: Raphanus sativus (radish)
Lineage: Eukaryota; Viridiplantae; Streptophyta; Magnoliopsida; Brassicales; Brassicaceae
Exons: 3
Source: RefSeq, a predicted model, not a curated record